Molecule: ribosomal RNA, 472 nt
Filed under: uncultured bacterium
Lineage: Bacteria
Description: bacterial SSU rRNA
Rfam family: Bacterial small subunit ribosomal RNA
Source: RNAcentral
CGCUUUCACUCCUACGGGAGGCAGCAGUAGGGAAUAUUGCACAAUGGGCGCAAGCCUGAUGCAGCCAUGCCGCGUGUGUGAAGAAGGCCUUCGGGUUGUAAAGCACUUUCAGUCGUGAGGAAGGUAGUGUAGUUAAUAGCUGCAUUAUUUGACGUUAGCGACAGAAGAAGCACCGGCUAACUCCGUGCCAGCAGCCGCGGUAAUACGGAGGGUGCGAGCGUUAAUCGGAAUUACUGGGCGUAAAGCGCAUGCAGGUGGUUUGUUAAGUCAGAUGUGAAAGCCCGGGGCUCAACCUCGGAAUUGCAUUUGAAACUGGCAGACUAGAGUACUGUAGAGGGGGUAGAAUUUCAGGUGUAGCGGUGAAAUGCGUAGAGAUCUGAAGGAAUACCGGUGGCGAAGGCGGCCCCCUGGACAGAUACUGACACUCAGAUGCGAAAGCGUGGGGAGCAAACAGGAUUAGAUACCCUGGUAG